UUUCGGAUAUUUUUGACCUUAAGCCACCCUUUGCGCCGCCACCCACGGCCAACCAUUACUACCACUAGCUUUACCGACAUCCCUAGGCCCUACCCUAUCAAUCUCAGGUCUUCGUUUGCACCCGUUGAAAAGUGGGUAUCUGUGACCCACGGCCAUAGUGUAUUUUGCACUGUUCUGCAGUUGUUUUUCCACUUCUUGCGCUUCCGUGAUCCUCCAAAAAUUAUUAUAUAGCAUUAUGAUUUGAAUGUUUCAGUUGAGGAUCAAGGAUAUGGAGCAUGGGUGAGAAGAGUUAGAAUGAUGGUUUAAGCAUAGAAGAUUUAUAUGGGUAUUGAAAGUUUUCAUUCAGUAAGCUUGUUGGGUUCUGAUGUUGUGAUUUGUUGGGAGAUUGAUGUUUAUAUUAAGAUUUUGUAUUGUCUUAGAAUAGUUAUUCUGGAGUAAGUGAUGUAAAUAUAUGAGUAUUUUGUGCGAU
Juglans microcarpa x Juglans regia is the source of this 469-nucleotide long non-coding RNA. RefSeq lists it as uncharacterized. The record is from RefSeq and is a predicted model, not a curated record. NCBI's taxonomy places the organism in Eukaryota, Viridiplantae, Streptophyta, Magnoliopsida, Fagales, Juglandaceae. The transcript is spliced from 2 exons.